UUAUAGUGUUCUGUUUGGAUACAUUAGU
Molecule: non-coding RNA, 28 nt
Filed under: Rattus norvegicus (Norway rat)
Lineage: Eukaryota; Metazoa; Chordata; Mammalia; Rodentia; Muridae
Source: RNAcentral